GUGGGGGAUAUUGCACAAUGGAGGAAACUCUGAUGCAGCGACGCCGCGUGAGUGAAGAAGUAUUUCGGUAUGUAAAGCUCUAUCAGCAGGGAAGAUAAUGACAGUACCUGACUAAGAAGCCCCGGCUAACUACGUGCCAGCAGCCGCGGUAAUACGUAGGGGGCAAGCGUUAUCCGGAUUUACUGGGUGUAAAGGGAGCGUAGACGGAAUGGCAAGUCUGAAGUGAAAUCCUGCGGCUUAACUGCAGAAUUGCUUUGGAAACUGUCAAUCUGGAGUGUUGGAGAGGUAAGCGGAAUUCCUGGUGUAGCGGUGAAAUGCGUAGAUAUCAGGAAGAACACCGGAGGCGAAGGCGGCUUACUGGACAAUAACUGACGUUGAGGCUCGAAAGCGUGGGAAGCAAACAGGAUUAGAAACCCGUGUAGUCC
This 425-nucleotide ribosomal RNA is filed under the name uncultured bacterium. Its description in RNAcentral is "partial 16S ribosomal RNA". It matches the Rfam family "Bacterial small subunit ribosomal RNA", at positions 354 to 796 of the family's 1533-position model. The record is from RNAcentral.